UUAGAAAGCGUUAAAGCUCGGACAUACACAAUACCCACUUAUCCUGACCAUCUUAUCUUAUUCCCCUAAACUUACCAGGCCGUUCCAUGCCCCCAUGGAAGCGACUAUGCUAAUAUGAGUAAUAAGAGGGCCCCGGCUCUCUCCCCGCACACGUGUAAGUCGGAACGGACCUCCCACCGACCCUUAACGGCCCCAAACAAAGAGGGAAUUGAACCUUACAACAGAUAACAAGAAAACCCAACAAGAAUAAACCGUUACCCCCACACAGGUGUGCCCCUCGGGAAAGACUAAGAGAAAGAGAAGGAACUCGGCAAACACAUUAAAGCCUCGCCUGUUUACCAAAAACAUCGCCUCUUGCAAAAAUAAAAAAUAAGAGGUCCCGCCUGCCCUGUGACUAUUAGUUUAACGGCCGCGGUAUUUUGACCGUGCGAAGGUAGCGCAAUCACUUGUCUUUUAAAUGAAGACCUGUAUGAAUGGCAUAACGAGGGCUUAACUGUCUCCUCUUUUAAGUCAAUGAAAUUGAUCUCCCCGUGCAGAAGCGGGGAUACUUCCAUAAGACGAGAAGACCCUAUGGAGCUUUAGACACUAAGGCAGCUCAUGUCAAAAACCCUACAAUAAAAGGCUGAACCAAAUGAGCUCUGCCCUAAUGUCUUUGGUUGGGGCGACCGCGGGGAACUAAAUAACCCCCAUGUGGAAUGGGAACACCUCUCCUAAAACGAAGAGCUACAGCUCUAAGCAACAGAACUUCUGACCUUCGAGAUCCGGCAAUGCCGAUCAACGAACCGAGUUACCCUAGGGAUAACAGCGCAAUCCUCUUUUAGAGCCCAUAUCGACAAGGGGGUUUACGACCUCGAUGUUGGAUCAGGACAUCCUAAUGGUG
This 880-nucleotide ribosomal RNA is filed under the name Chelidonichthys lucerna (tub gurnard). RNAcentral describes it as "partial 16S ribosomal RNA". It matches the Rfam family "Bacterial large subunit ribosomal RNA", at positions 1229 to 2555 of the family's 2925-position model. The record is from RNAcentral. Lineage: Eukaryota; Metazoa; Chordata; Actinopteri; Perciformes; Triglidae.